UGGCAAAGAGGCAGAGGAUAGCAUUUUUCCCAAAUUUUGUUCACUCACUUGGUGGUACUCAUAUGAUGAUGACUGCGGUGGCUUGCAAAAAAGAAGGUUUGAAUUUUGCAGGGGUUCAUGACUCAUAUUGGAUGCAUGCGUGUGAUGUGGAUAGAAUGAACAGAAUACUCAGAGAGAAGUUUGUUGAACUCUGAGACCCCAAUACUGGAAAAUGUAUGGUUUAGAUGUUAACGUCAUUUACAUGAUAUGCUAUUAUUUUUAAUCUCUGGUAUUCUUGGGAAUAUUUGAGGAGAAAUUGAUUUUAUUAUCUUUAGUUUCGUUGGUAUUUUCAUACUUGCUUGUGUAAUUAAAUAGUGGAUACUUCUUUUGGUAUUGUGCUUUGUUUUCUGCAACUUGAAAUCUGGUUUGAAUUUCUCAAAAAAAAAAUGACGAGAAAAACCAUUCUAUGUUUUUAGUAGAUGGGGAAACUUAUGUGACUAGAUGCAAAGGUUGAUAUUAAUGGUUAAUUUAUUUUAUUUUAUAUUUGUAUAAAUAGCCUCUUUGUAAUUUCUAGGUUACUGCUAGAUCUGUUAACCUGUUCUUAUUUGUGAGCAGUUACUGGAGAGCUUCCAGGGGUCUUUCUCAACAUUAAUGUUCCCCCUAUUACCGAAACGGGGAGACUUCAACCUAAGGGAAGUUUUAGAGUCACCAUAUUUCUUCAACUGAUCUUUCUGCAGUCCUCUGUAGGGCAUGGACUCUUUCUUUAGGGUUUAUUGACUGCAUUCUGAGUUAUUUCGGCAUGUGCAUAAUAGCGACAACAGUUCUUCCGAAUGCGCUCGCGAUACAGGCCGUUCCUCAGUGGCAUUAUAUAUCUUUGAAGGCAUCCAGAGUCUUGAGGAGGACUCUUGUCUGGUAUGAUAAUAUAAAUUCACUCGUCCCACUGGAAUUUUUGAGGGUAUAUACCUUGACACCAGAUAGAAGCUUUCGUAGCUUUUGCAACCAUGAUGCUUUCAAGAAAAAAAUAGCCAAGGUAUCAAGCUUGGCAUUGCUAGUUAGUGAGUGUAGUAGUUAUUGAUUUCAAGAAUUUAGGAAGAGAUCUGCGAAUAAGUUCAGCUCACACGUCUCCAUGAAAACUAUCCCAGGGAUAGUUGCAAGACCAUCUUUGAUAUCAAGAGAAUAGCGAAUGUGUACCUUAGAUAAGGUUUUACAUGUGUAUUUUGUACAAGCUUUCUUUUGUAAAUAACUAAAUAUAAAAGAAACAUUCUUUUUUAUUAUUUUAUAACAUGUUUAAGAUAAUUUAUUGUAGACAUUAUAUGCACCAAAAAUA
Molecule: non-coding RNA, 1306 nt
Organism: Arachis ipaensis
Lineage: Eukaryota; Viridiplantae; Streptophyta; Magnoliopsida; Fabales; Fabaceae
Source: RefSeq, a predicted model, not a curated record